CUGGGUAGGCGUGCGUCUCGCUACCCGCCUUAACCAGCUUGGAGUGUCUGAGGCCCGCCGCGUGGUGGCGCACGUGGCCGCGUGGAUUCGAUUGGGCCCUCUAGCUUUACACCACCGUCUAGGUUAGCUGACCCUGAGGCGCAGGCCGAGUAAAGAUGGGAAUAAACGGUGCUUCUUAUGCUUGGAAAUGUUCCAGACUGCUGAGGCAGUCUUCCCUCGAAGGGAACUACGGUUCGGGGGGCAGGCUUCGCUGAGAUCACAGGUCAAGUUAGCCUCAAGCAGGCCCUGGAGCCUAACGCUAGCUGGCCUGCCGGGAGUUCCAGGCCGUGCAUGCACUGCGCACUGCACCCACAUUUCUUGUACGAGAUUCUGGAGGGCUGGAGUCCGGCCUUUUUGCCUCCCCACCGGCGCCUGGCACCGUAAGACCAUGCAUAGAGAGAGAGCGAGCACAAGCAGGGGAAGUGGCAGAGGGAGAAGAAACAUGCUCCCCACUGAGCAGGAAGCCCAAUGCGGGGAGCCCGAUGUGGGGAAGGGCUAGAUCCCAGGAUCCAGGGACCACGACCCGACCUGAGCCGAAAGCAGCUGCCCAACCGACUGAGCCACCCAGGUACCCAAGGACCCCUGAAUUUAACAGGAUCUCCAGGCUCCAACCAAGCAUGGAGCCCAACAUUGGGGCACAAACUCACAACCCUGAGAUCAAGACCUAUGCUGAGAUCAAGAGUCAGAUACUUAACUGACUGAGCCACCCAGGCACGCCAUGAAUUACUGUUUCUGCUAAAGCCCCAGGAGCUCUCCAGCUUGCUCAUCCCUGCCACUGGGGUUCUGCGCAGGAGAGAGAGUCAGCUUUGUCCCACAAUUUCCUGGUCCUGGUUCUGGAAAUCCUGCUCGCAUCUACAGCUGAGGGUUUUGGCUGAAACACUCACGACACAGGUAGAGAAAAAACAGCAUUGGCUGAAGGUGAAGGAGCAGAACUGAAAGUCACACUCGGACUCAGGUUUAGGCUGCCUUGAAUAUGCUGGCCUGGUGGCACCCACCAACCUGUGGAGAGAAAAGCAUCCCAUCGUACGGACCACCACCCACCCAGACAGAGUGCAGAUGGGCUCUGUUGAGCCCUUUGUGAUACCUGCUCUUGGAACCCAGCCACUACACUGUGAGGGAAGUCCAAGCUACCCUGUGGAGAGGCGGGUGUGGAGAGAAGCAGCAUACAGUGUGACUCGAGCAGGUGAGUGAGUCAUCUUGGAAGUGGCUCUUCCAGCCCCAACUGACGCCACUUGGGGCAGAGGUGAGCUGUCCCUGCUGAGCUACAUGAUUGCUGCCGGCUUACGUCACUAAUUUUUGGAGUGGUUUGUUUGAAGAGAUAGAUAAUGGAGGCAUCCCCUGUCCCCCCACAAAACUGGGAGCCACAGGCUUAGGAGGCGGGAAAUGGGCCCCUCUUUGUCCCUGGAGCUGGGACCUAGGUCAGCAUUGUUCCUUCAACAAGUAUUUGUUGCAUGACCACCAAGUGCUAGACACUGUUCCAAGGGCUGAGGACUUACUGAAUGAGACAGACCCCAAGAAAGGGUGGUGGGGAGAACCGUCUUCCUGUGGGAGGUUAUUUCUAAGCUGAGACCCAUCUAAGGAAGAGGAGUUAGCCACGCACAGAAGCAGAGAAAGGCCAGAUGCAAUACCGUGUGCUAUUUCUGGAUGAGGUUAACAGAUUUGGCAAAUAAAAAAUAAAAAUUUGACACCCAGUUAAACUUGAAUUUUAGAUGAGUAACGAAUACUUUUUUUGUGUGUAUACAUAUGUCCCAUGCAGCUUUGGAGGCAUGCUCAUAUUAAAAAGUCAUUCAUGGGCUGCCUGGGUGGCUCAGUCAGUUAAGCGUCUGCCUUCGGCUCCAGUCAUGAUGCUAGGGUCCUGGGAUGAGCCCCACAUCAGGCUCCCUGCUCGGCGGGCAGCCUGCUUCGCCCUCUGCCUGCUGCUCCCCUUGCUUGCGCUUGCUCCCUCGCUCUCUGGCAAAUAAAAUCUUUUCUAAAAAAGUUAUUCAUUACUUCUCUGAAAGUCAAGUUAACUGGGAGUCCUGCAUUUUAUCUGACCUCUAGUUUUAAGGCAGAAAAGAGAAAGAAAAGUGAGAAAAACUCAUGUUUCAAGAGACAAUUCGGAAAGCUGGUGGUGGGACAGUGGCAAACAGGGUGUGACAUCAGAAGUAAAGGUCGUCACAAAAGGCCAGCUGGCCAGGUCCAUUUUGAAUUUUGUCCUGAAGCAGUGAGGGGCCACAAGAGGGUUCAGACCCAGGGAGACACAAUCGGAUGUGUGUGUUGCAACAGUAUUCUGGGCUACCGUCUGGAAGGGAUGGGAGAGCCUGUGGGCAGGGAGAUCAGGGGGAGGAGGCCUCUACCCUGCAAAGUUCAGACUCUGGUAACCACAAAGGCUUGAGAAUGUCGAACUAACUCCCCACUUCCCACUUUUCUUUUCUAUAACAUAAGUGCUUUAAACUCUAAGAUUCCCUUUAACUACUGCUUCAGUGUAUCCCACAAGCUUUUGAUAUAUUUAGUUUUAUCAUUCCAUUCAGGAUGUUUUCUCUCAAUUCUUCAGAUGUGUGUUG
Mustela lutreola (European mink) is the source of this 2582-nucleotide long non-coding RNA. RefSeq lists it as uncharacterized. Lineage: Eukaryota; Metazoa; Chordata; Mammalia; Carnivora; Mustelidae. The transcript has 7 exons. The record is from RefSeq and is a predicted model, not a curated record.